RNAcentral lists this ribosomal RNA (266 nucleotides) under uncultured bacterium. Its description in RNAcentral is "partial 16S ribosomal RNA". It matches the Rfam family "Bacterial small subunit ribosomal RNA", at positions 89 to 354 of the family's 1533-position model. The record is from RNAcentral.
GGGCGACCGGCGCACGGGUGAGUAACACGUAUCCAACCUGGCCGAUGACUCGGGAAUAGCCUUUACGAAAGAAAGAUUAAUACCCGAUGGCAUAGUUCUUCCGCAUGGUAGAACUAUUAAAGAAUUUCGGUCAUCGAUGGGGAUGCGUUCCAUUAGCUUGUUGGCGGGGUAACGGCCCACCAAGGCAUCGAUGGAUAGGGGUUCUGAAAGGAAGGUCCCCCACAUUGGAACUGAGACACGGUCCAAACUCCUACGGAAGGCAGCAG